AGCGAACGCUGGCGGCAGGCCUAACACAUGCCAGUCGAACGAACUCUUCGGAGUUAGUGGCGGACGGGUGAGUAACACGUGGGAACGUGCCUUUUGGUUCGGAAUAACUCAGGGAAGCUUGUGCUAAUACCGAAUGUGCCCUUCGGGGGAAAGAUUUAUCGCCAUUAGAGCGGCCCGCGUCUGAUUAGCUAGUUGGUGAGGUAACGGCUCACCAAGGCGACGAUCAGUAGCUGGUCUGAGAGGAUGACCAGCCACACUGGGACUGAGACACGGCCCAGACUCCUACGGGAGGCGGCAGUGGGGAAUCUUGCGCAAUGGGCGAGAGGCUGACGCAGCCAUGCCGCGUGAAUGAUGAAGGUCUUAGGAUUGUAAAAUUCUUUCACCGGGGACGAUAAUGACGGUACCCGGAGAAGAAGCCCCGGCUAACUUCGUG
Molecule: ribosomal RNA, 433 nt
Filed under: uncultured bacterium
Lineage: Bacteria
Description: partial 16S ribosomal RNA
Rfam family: Bacterial small subunit ribosomal RNA
Source: RNAcentral